UCAACUUGAGAGUUUGAUCCUGGCUCAGAACGAACGCUGGCGGCAGGCCUAAUACAUGCAAGUCGAGCGCGCCCUUCGGGGUGAGCGGCGGACGGGUGAGUAACGCGUGGGAAUAUGCCCUUCUCUAAGGAAUAGCCUCUGGAAACGGAGAGUAAUACCUUAUACGCCCUUUGGGGGAAAGAUUUAUCGGAGAAGGAUUAGCCCGCGUUAGAUUAGGUAGUUGGUGGGGUAAUGGCCUACCAAGCCUACGAUCUAUAGCUGGUUUGAGAGGAUGAUCAGCCACACUGGGACUGAGACACGGCCCAGACUCCUACGGGAGGCAGCAGUAGGGAAUCUUAGACAAUGGGGGCAACCCUGAUCUAGCCAUGCCGCGUGUGUGAUGAAGGCCUUAGGGUCGUAAAGCACUUUCGCCAGAGAUGAUAAUGACAGUAUCUGGUAAAGAAACCCCGGCUAACUCCGUGCCAGCAGCCGCGGUAAUACGGAGGGGGUUAGCGUUGUUCGGAAUUACUGGGCGUAAAGCGCACGUAGGCGGAUUAGUAAGUUAGAGGUGAAAUCCCAGGGCUCAACCCUGGAACUGCCUUUAAUACUGCUAGUCUUGAGUUCGAGAGAGGUAAGUGGAAUUCCGAG
RNAcentral lists this ribosomal RNA (627 nucleotides) under Planktomarina temperata. RNAcentral describes it as "bacterial SSU rRNA". It matches the Rfam family "Bacterial small subunit ribosomal RNA", at positions 1 to 673 of the family's 1533-position model. Lineage: Bacteria; Pseudomonadati; Pseudomonadota; Alphaproteobacteria; Rhodobacterales; Paracoccaceae. The record is from RNAcentral.